GGCCUUGAACUCAGAAAUCCGCCUGCCUCUGCCUCCCGAGUGCUGGGAUUAAAGGCGUGCACCACUACGCCCGGCUCUUGUGGGAUGUCUUACUGAUUCCUUACUGCAUGCUCUGAUAGAGUUCCACACACAAUCCAGAUAACACUCAACAUGUUCUCUACAGUAGAUAUUCUUCUUGUCUCUAACUUCACAGAGUCAGCCUCAGGGAGGACAUAUUAUCUGGCUGUGAACAUUCACACACUACAACCCCUCCCAUUUAGCUUCUCUGCCUCUGCAUGUCCCUCUUUCUGAUAUGGGGACAUUCCUGCAACUCUGGACCUCCUUGCCUUGGCUCCAUCUGGCCUCCUGGGGUUAGGAAGUAGCUGCUCCAGCCUGUAAACCCAGACAAUUACAGAGAGUGGUGAAUCUCAAAAAAGUAAAAACAAGGUUGUGUGACCAGAACGUAUGCCUACGGAUGAGAGCUUCUUCCGGACGAGAUACUGAAGACCCUAGCACACGCAGGCGACCUUGUCAGAGCGCUGCUGUGAUACACUCCCUGGAUUCCGCAGCCCUCGGCUGACACAGGUGAAAUUGAGAAAGAGGUAGGAAGGGUUCCAAGGAGGGGUGACAGCGUCGACCUGCUGGGCUUUCUCAUCCUCUAACCACCUCUGGCUAACAUCCUCCUGCCAGGGGAACAGUUCCACCCCCUGGGCUGAGCCGGUGCCAAACAACAGGUGGUAGUCAAGGUAAACAGGGCAAUAAAGUUCAUCAAGGUUAAUUUAUGGGAAAUAAAUGUGACUGUACCCCAUUUUCAUCCAUUAACAUUCUAAACACCUUGUUCAAAAUGCCCAGGAGUAUUUCUGGCUGCCAGGAAAGUUAUCAU
This is a long non-coding RNA of Mus musculus (house mouse), 862 nucleotides long. RefSeq annotates it as predicted gene, 29892. NCBI's taxonomy places the organism in Eukaryota, Metazoa, Chordata, Mammalia, Rodentia, Muridae. The transcript has 3 exons. The record is from RefSeq and is a predicted model, not a curated record.